AUGCAUGAUGGGAUACACAAAGCUUUGUAUAGCGCUCCGGAGCAGUAUUGGAGAGGUUUAGUGUGUGUUAAGGACGCUGUGCUUUGGCAUUAUUAAGACCGGGGACAGUCUCGUUCACACACUGUCACAUACACACACUCUCAAGUGGCCAAGACUGCAAGUGUGGGUAUCUGGACAGGGUCAAAGUCUUAAAAAUGAUCCCUAAACACAGUCGCACAUCACAGUCUUAAUAAUCCAGUUUAACACUUGUAUGAUAUUGUACAAGUCCCAGGACGGUCUCAUCUGACACUAUCAAAAGAAUUCAUAUGACUAUAGCUUGCUAUUAAUUACUUGCUUUCAAUAAUGGAUGCAUUUAACAUUUAAUUAUACUGCAUCUUUACAGAGGUGUAAUGUACAAGUUGCACAUAAUUAAUAAUAUUUCCUUCCUUCUGUCUUACAGGAUUGUUUGCAGAUAAUGUUGUUCUUUUUCAGGUCUACAAUAUCGAGCUCAACAGCUAUUUUAAGAGCCAACCCUCACAAACCUUCCUAAAAACUAAAAGAGCUAUUACUGAGUCUCAGCGAAUCUUGCCAUGAUCAGCUCUUCCCAGAAGAGAAGGAAGACCAAGGAAAUGAUUUGCUCAGGAUGAGGAAUGAAGAUGGCCAUCUUGUGCUCAAACAAACAGAAGUCCUCUGAUGAUCUCAUCAGCCAAAUGAGGGGUUUUGACCAAGUGAUGCUCUUGAAAGGAGUGAAAGAAGAGGAUGUGGUAAAUUGUCUUCAGAGAAAAACCUUCUCUAAAGGUCUUAAAACAGCUUGAAGAAUGGUCUGGGAUCUUAGGACUGAGAGAUCCUCUGGCUGAGAACAAGCUACACCACAUCAGUGCUGGAUAUCAACCACAAACUGUUUCCAGACACGACAGAAGAAGAUCACGAUGGGGAGAUGAAACCAGUUUAGAUGUGAUGAUGGGAAUCAUUAUUUUCUGGAACAGUAUCACAUGUCUUAUAUGUAUCACAUGAUCUGUAUCACAGUUGACUGUAUGGGACUGU
Molecule: long non-coding RNA, 1023 nt
Organism: Carassius gibelio (silver crucian carp)
Lineage: Eukaryota; Metazoa; Chordata; Actinopteri; Cypriniformes; Cyprinidae
Exons: 4
Source: RefSeq, a predicted model, not a curated record